Molecule: transfer RNA, 72 nt
Organism: Ovis aries (sheep)
Lineage: Eukaryota; Metazoa; Chordata; Mammalia; Artiodactyla; Bovidae
Rfam family: tRNA
About the family: Transfer RNA (tRNA) molecules are approximately 80 nucleotides in length. Their secondary structure includes four short double-helical elements and three loops (D, anti-codon, and T loops).
Source: Rfam
UCCCUGAUAGCUCAGUUGGUAAAGAACCUGUCUGCAGUGCAGGAAACCCCAGUUCAAUUACUGGGUCAGGAA